RNAcentral lists this ribosomal RNA (464 nucleotides) under Aeribacillus pallidus. RNAcentral describes it as "bacterial SSU rRNA". It matches the Rfam family "Bacterial small subunit ribosomal RNA", at positions 1 to 454 of the family's 1533-position model. Lineage: Bacteria; Bacillati; Bacillota; Bacilli; Caryophanales; Bacillaceae. The record is from RNAcentral.
UUUUUUGGAGAGUUUGAUCCUGGCUCAGGACGAACGCUGGCGGCGUGCCUAAUACAUGCAAGUCGAGCGGACCGAAGGGAGCUUGCUCCUUUAGGUUAGCGGCGGACGGGUGAGUAACACGUGGGCAACCUGCCCUGCAGACUGGGAUAACUUCGGGAAACCGGAGCUAAUACCGGAUAACACCGAAAACCGCAUGGUUUUCGGUUGAAAGGCGGCUUUAGCUGUCACUGCAGGAUGGGCCCGCGGCGCAUUAGCUAGUUGGUGAGGUAACGGCUCACCAAGGCGACGAUGCGUAGCCGACCUGAGAGGGUGACCGGCCACACUGGGACUGAGACACGGCCCAGACUCCUACGGGAGGCAGCAGUAGGGAAUCUUCCGCAAUGGACGAAAGUCUGACGGAGCAACGCCGCGUGAGCGAAGAAGGUCUUCGGAUCGUAAAGCUCUGUUGUCAGGGAAGAACAAGU